UACAUUGCGUAAUUUGUUUGAAUGACUGUCUAGAGACAUGGAGAGACACGGAGUUGCUUGAGGGUACAGUGCCUGUAGAUACUCAAUAAACAUUUGUUUAAUUAAGAAAAUUUCUGUUAUUUGUGUGCUCAUAUAUACCAUUUCAGUCUGGGUUUGUCUGAUCCAGGUAAUUAUCAUGAAUUUUGUCGAUUUUUGGCUCGUUUAAAGACAAAUUAUCAGCUGGGAGAAUUAGUUAUGGUGAAGGAAUAUCCUGAAGUUAUUAGAUUGAUUGCUAAUUUUACCAUUACUAGCCUACAGCAUUGGGAAUUUGCUCCUAACAGUGUUCAUUAUUUAUUAACUCUGUGGCAAAGGAUGGUAGCAUCUGUUCCUUUUGUGAAAUCAACUGAACCCCACCUAUUAGACACUUAUGCACCAGAAAUCACGAAGGCCUUUAUCACUUCUCGGUUGGACUCUGUUGCCAUAGUUGUGAGAGAUCACUUAGAUGAUCCACUGGAUGAUACUGCCACUGUGUUUCAGCAGUUGGAGCAGUUGUGUACGGUCAGCAGAUGUGAAUAUGAAAAGACAUGUGCUCUUCUUGUGCAGUUAUUCGACCAAAAUGCACAGAAUUACCAAAAACUUCUGCAUCCAUCUUCUGGUGUAACUGUGGACAUCACCAUUCAGGAAGGACGUCUUGCAUGGCUGGUAUACUUAGUUGGGACAGUUGUAGGAGGAAGAUUAACAUAUACCAGUACAGAUG
This 736-nucleotide small RNA is filed under the name Pan troglodytes (chimpanzee). RNAcentral's name for it is "processed transcript". Lineage: Eukaryota; Metazoa; Chordata; Mammalia; Primates; Hominidae. The record is from RNAcentral.